This 253-nucleotide ribosomal RNA is filed under the name uncultured bacterium. RNAcentral's name for it is "partial 16S ribosomal RNA". It matches the Rfam family "Bacterial small subunit ribosomal RNA", at positions 524 to 776 of the family's 1533-position model. The record is from RNAcentral.
UACAGAGGGCCCAAGCGUUGUUCGGAUUCACUGGGCGUAAAGGGUGCGUAGGUGGUGAGGUAAGUCGGAUGUGAAAUCUCCAAGCUCAACUUGGAAACUGCAUUGGAAACUACCUUGCUAGAGGAUUUGAGGGGGGAUUGGAAUACUUGGUGUAGCAGUGAAAUGCGUAGAUAUCAAGUGGAACACCAGUGGCGAAGGCGAAUCCCUGGAAAAUACCUGACACUGAGGCACGAAAGCUAGGGGAGCAAACAGG